This 338-nucleotide ribosomal RNA is filed under the name Salmonella enterica subsp. enterica serovar Manhattan str. CFSAN001078. Its description in RNAcentral is "bacterial LSU rRNA". It matches the Rfam family "Bacterial large subunit ribosomal RNA", at positions 2595 to 2925 of the family's 2925-position model. Lineage: Bacteria; Pseudomonadati; Pseudomonadota; Gammaproteobacteria; Enterobacterales; Enterobacteriaceae. The record is from RNAcentral.
GGUACGCGAGCUGGGUUUAGAACGUCGUGAGACAGUUCGGUCCCUAUCUGCCGUGGGCGCUGGAGAACUGAGGGGGGCUGCUCCUAGUACGAGAGGACCGGAGUGGACGCAUCACUGGUGUUCGGGUUGUCAUGCCAAUGGCACUGCCCGGUAGCUAAAUGCGGAAGAGAUAAGUGCUGAAAGCAUCUAAGCACGAAACUUGCCCCGAGAUGAGUUCUCCCUGAGACUUAGAGUCUCCUGAAGGAACGUUGAAGACGACGACGUUGAUAGGCCGGGUGUGUAAGCGCAGCGAUGCGUUGAGCUAACCGGUACUAAUGAACCGUGAGGCUUAACCUUAC